RNAcentral lists this ribosomal RNA (253 nucleotides) under uncultured bacterium. RNAcentral describes it as "partial 16S ribosomal RNA". It matches the Rfam family "Bacterial small subunit ribosomal RNA", at positions 524 to 776 of the family's 1533-position model. The record is from RNAcentral.
UACAGAGGACUCAAGCGUUGUUCGGAUUCAUUGGGCGUAAAGGGCGCGUAGGCGGGGUGGCAAGUCGGUCGUGAAAUCCUUCGGCUCAACCGAAGAACGUCGAUCGAUACUGCUGUUCUUGAGGGUUGCAGAGGAGACUGGAAUUCCCGGUGUAGCGGUGAAAUGUGUAGAGAUCGGGAGGAACACCGGUGGCGAAGGCGGGUCUCUGGGCAAUUACUGACGCUGAGGCGCGAAAGCGUGGGGAGCAAACGGG